GGGCCUAUAGUCUAGUGGCAAAACGACUCGUUUACACCGAGUAGUCGGCAGUUCGAUUCUGCCUAGGCCCA
RNAcentral lists this transfer RNA (71 nucleotides) under Candidatus Pacearchaeota archaeon. Its description in RNAcentral is "tRNA-Val". It matches the Rfam family "tRNA". From Rfam's summary of the family: Transfer RNA (tRNA) molecules are approximately 80 nucleotides in length. Their secondary structure includes four short double-helical elements and three loops (D, anti-codon, and T loops). Lineage: Archaea; Nanobdellati. The record is from RNAcentral.